UCCAGACUUCUGUGCAGCUGAAGGGCUUUUCCUCUAAUAUUCUUCUAAAAAGAGCAAAAGACGAUACAUUGUUUUAGCAAAAACACAGGGAGGCAAAGCGCAAUCCAAAAGUGAGUUACAAUUAAUCAGCUGAAUAUCAUACUGAAUACUAUUUGACCACAUUAAGCACAUGAAAUACAAAGCACUUACAAUGUGCUCUUCACACCAAGCCAGUAUUCAGCGUAUGCUGUGUCAGACAUGUUUUGUCACCAUAAUCAUACAGCCUUUCCCGCACCAGGUGCCAGAGCAUGAGCCACAAAGGGCAGAGCCUCUCCAAAAUGCUUUGAUGUCCUUCCCUUGCAGGCAGGUGUGGCUGCAUUGUACAGAAAUGCAAACAGCGCCAUUUCUGUGAAUUCUAGGUACUUCAUUGUAUUUCAUUACAGUUAUUAUUUGUUUUGUUAAAGGUUCGUUAAUGGGAGAAACAGGGGAGAAUCACAGGGAGCCGAGCUGACACCAGUUCCGGGGAAGCUUAGGGCAACAGGCGAGCAGACAGCAGCGGUGGCUGAGCCCGGCGCGGCUGGUCCGUGUCCGCUCACUGCCCAGUGGGUGGUGCUGCGGGCAAAGGUUGCUCGGAGGCCCAGCCCGACGAGCCGCGCUCCGCGGCCGCCGCAUCCCCGCGGCCCCGGCUCCGUGCCCCAGGACCGGCGGGACCGGGGAGCCGCGGCUGCGGCUGCUGCGCUUCGAAGGGUUAAAAGCCGUCGAGCCCCAUGCGUAGGAGGGGUCGGGACAGUGUGGAGAGAAAUGCAGAAAAAGUUGAAGUAACUGUUUUCCUGUUUUAGUGAUCCUAGUUUCUCAAGAAGGAAAUUACACUAAUACUGAAUCACAGUUCUGUAUGCAUCAUCAUCGUAUACAGAUGUUUUCCAUGGUGAGGAAGUUGUUUUUAGGUGCUGAGUGUGUCCACAUUUGUCAAGCUUUACCAGUUUCCUUCAAAACAAGGAUCAGAAUGGCCACUUUAAGAUACAUCAUUAUAGGUCUUGGCAAGGUCGUCCCAUAUCCCUACUAUCGCACAAUGGAGAAAUGUGAAACUAUGUAAUCAUGAAAUAAAAUUAACUGAUGCAAGCUUCAAACCUACAGUAUGCUAUUGCAAAGCCUGCUCUGGUCAAGUGAUGACACUCUCGUGAGUGGCUGAGAUCCCCAGUAAGCAGAGGGAUUCCCACACUCACCUCCAGUUUGCUGCAGAACUGCAAGAACAUCUUUGGUAAUCAUCUUAGUCCUGUGCCUAUCUGUCAGCAUCAGCUUCUGGAUAUUCAGGCCUACUGAUUUGGGAAAACCCAAAAGCUUAUGGGGCAGUACUAAUAAGAAGUUGUAACCAUCAAUCAACUUCCCAGAACCACUGUAUGUUAAAAUUUUUUCUGUACUUUUAAUUGUCUUUCUAUCAAGGUGCUCAAGACACAAAUAAACCACCAAUAAAUGCCAUACCUAAGCUAUAACAUUUUACAUUUCCAAUGAAAAUUUUUGGCUGUUACACUUGUGAUCCAAUAAACAAGUUCACUAAUUAUUUUCUUUUUCUGCCUCCUAUGAAUUUUCUACCCAGGAGCUUUUGCCUCUCUUCUGAGGAG
This is a long non-coding RNA of Vidua chalybeata, 1598 nucleotides long. RefSeq lists it as uncharacterized. Lineage: Eukaryota; Metazoa; Chordata; Aves; Passeriformes; Viduidae. The record is from RefSeq and is a predicted model, not a curated record. The transcript is spliced from 4 exons.